This 240-nucleotide ribosomal RNA is filed under the name uncultured bacterium. RNAcentral's name for it is "partial 16S ribosomal RNA". It matches the Rfam family "Bacterial small subunit ribosomal RNA", at positions 95 to 334 of the family's 1533-position model. The record is from RNAcentral.
ACGGCGGACGGGUGAGUAACGCGUGGGUAACCUACCCUGUACACACGGAUAACAUACCGAAAGGUAAUGCUAAUACGGGAUAAUAUAUUUGAGAGGCAUCUCUUGAAUAUCAAAGGUGAGCCAGUACAGGAUGGACCCGCGUCUGAUUAGCUAGUUGGUAAGGUAACGGCUUACCAAGGCGACGAUCAGUAGCCGACCUGGGAGGGUGAUCGGCCACAUUGGAACUGAGACACGGUCCAA